Molecule: ribosomal RNA, 546 nt
Filed under: Neoscytalidium hyalinum
Lineage: Eukaryota; Fungi; Ascomycota; Dothideomycetes; Botryosphaeriales; Botryosphaeriaceae
Description: eukaryotic LSU rRNA
Rfam family: 5.8S ribosomal RNA (bases 199-351)
Source: RNAcentral
AACCUGCGGAAGGAUCAUUACCGAGUUGAUUCGGGCUCCGGCCCGAUCCUCCCACCCUUUGUGUACCCACCUCUGUUGCUUUGGCGGGCCGCGGUCCUCCGCGGCCGCCCUCCGUCCGGGGGGUGGCCAGCGCCCGCCAGAGGACCAUCGAACUCCGGUCAGUGAACGUUGCCGUCUGAAAAACAAUCAAUAAACUAAAACUUUCAACAACGGAUCUCUUGGUUCUGGCAUCGAUGAAGAACGCAGCGAAAUGCGAUAAGUAAUGUGAAUUGCAGAAUUCAGUGAUCAUCGAAUCUUUGAACGCACAUUGCGCCCCUCGGUAUUCCGAGGGGCAUGCCUGUUCGAGCGUCAUUACAACCCUCAAGCUCUGCUUGGUGUUGGGCACCGCCCUUCCGCGGGCGCGCCUCAAAGACCUCGGCGGUGGCGUCUUGCCUCGAGCGUAGUAGAAAACACCUCGCUUUGGAGCGCACGGCGCCGCCCGCCGGACGAACCUUUUGAACUUCUCAAGGUGACCUCGGAUCAGGUAGGGAUACCCGCUGAACUUAA